This 668-nucleotide long non-coding RNA is filed under the name Fukomys damarensis (Damara mole-rat). RNAcentral's name for it is "lncRNA (ENSFDAG00000023623.1)". The record is from RNAcentral. Lineage: Eukaryota; Metazoa; Chordata; Mammalia; Rodentia; Bathyergidae.
GUUAGGUGAAAAGGAGAAGGAAGAAGAAAAGGAACAUGAGAAAAAAAAUACCUCAGCCUCAAAGACAAAGGCAAAACUAAACAUGCGGACUCCUUAAGCCCCUGUUGACUGAUUUUACUUUCCACAGUUUCAGUGAGGCAUGGUCAAGCACUACGCAGAAAUACGAAAUGGCAAAUUUCAAGCAAUAACCAGUUGCACCAUCACAGAUGUGACCGAACUGCUACAGCAUCACCUGCCUAUAUCAACUUUUCAACUCAUCCAUGAAGUUAUGGGACCACCACUGCACAUGUGGUCUGUCACUGACCAAAAUGCCAUUAUGCAAUGCAAACUCUGCUCAGGCAAGACUCCAGACCUAGGCAGCCAGGGCUCUGGGAAGGGUCCAGAAAUUUCUGAGUAUUCCAGGUGAUUCUGGUGCACAUAUUCAGGUUUGGGAACCACUGAGUGAGGAGAACGCAGCACUGUAAAAUCAGAGCUGCUACUUCUAAGCAAUAUUUUAUGGAGCAAUAGCCACAAAUGGACCAUACAGGUGAAAAACUUCACAAGAUUGGCAGCAAAAGUAAUAGCAGGAAGUGAUGUAUUAAAACACUUGAAAUUGUAUCUUGUGGUAUUUGCUUGAAAAAUAAUAGAAAUAGUAAGUGUGGAGAAAUAAUAAGGAAAAGUGGCAGGAG